Molecule: ribosomal RNA, 2912 nt
Filed under: Pseudomonas aeruginosa
Lineage: Bacteria; Pseudomonadati; Pseudomonadota; Gammaproteobacteria; Pseudomonadales; Pseudomonadaceae
Description: 23S ribosomal RNA
Rfam family: Bacterial large subunit ribosomal RNA
Source: RNAcentral
GUUAUAUGGUCAAGUGAAGAAGCGCAUACGGUGGAUGCCUUGGCAGUCAGAGGCGAUGAAAGACGUGGUAGCCUGCGAAAAGCUUCGGGGAGUCGGCAAACAGACUUUGAUCCGGAGAUCUCUGAAUGGGGGAACCCACCUAGGAUAACCUAGGUAUCUUGUACUGAAUCCAUAGGUGCAAGAGGCGAACCAGGGGAACUGAAACAUCUAAGUACCCUGAGGAAAAGAAAUCAACCGAGAUUCCCUUAGUAGUGGCGAGCGAACGGGGAUUAGCCCUUAAGCUUCAUUGAUUUUAGCGGAACGCUCUGGAAAGUGCGGCCAUAGUGGGUGAUAGCCCCGUACGCGAAAGGAUCUUUGAAGUGAAAUCGAGUAGGACGGAGCACGAGAAACUUUGUCUGAACAUGGGGGGACCAUCCUCCAAGGCUAAAUACUACUGACUGACCGAUAGUGAACCAGUACCGUGAGGGAAAGGCGAAAAGAACCCCGGAGAGGGGAGUGAAAUAGAACCUGAAACCGUAUGCGUACAAGCAGUGGGAGCCUACUUGUUAGGUGACUGCGUACCUUUUGUAUAAUGGGUCAGCGACUUAUAUUCAGUGGCAAGCUUAACCGUAUAGGGUAGGCGUAGCGAAAGCGAGUCUUAAUAGGGCGUUUAGUCGCUGGGUAUAGACCCGAAACCGGGCGAUCUAUCCAUGAGCAGGUUGAAGGUUAGGUAACACUGACUGGAGGACCGAACCCASUCCCGUUGAAAAGGUAGGGGAUGACUUGUGGAUCGGAGUGAAAGGCUAAUCAAGCUCGGAGAUAGCUGGUUCUCCUCGAAAGCUAUUUAGGUAGCGCCUCAUGUAUCACUCUGGGGGGUAGAGCACUGUUUCGGCUAGGGGGUCAUCCCGACUUACCAAACCGAUGCAAACUCCGAAUACCCAGAAGUGCCGAGCAUGGGAGACACACGGCGGGUGCUAACGUCCGUCGUGAAAAGGGAAACAACCCAGACCGCCAGCUAAGGUCCCAAAGUUGUGGUUAAGUGGUAAACGAUGUGGGAAGGCUUAGACAGCUAGGAGGUUGGCUUAGAAGCAGCCAUCCUUUAAAGAAAGCGUAAUAGCUCACUAGUCGAGUCGGCCUGCGCGGAAGAUGUAACGGGGCUCAAACCACACACCGAAGCUGCGGGUGUCACGUAAGUGACGCGGUAGAGGAGCGUUCUGUAAGCCUGUGAAGGUGAGUUGAGAAGCUUGCUGGAGGUAUCAGAAGUGCGAAUGCUGACAUGAGUAACGACAAUGGGUGUGAAAAACACCCACGCCGAAAGACCAAGGGUUCCUGCGCAACGUUAAUCGACGCAGGGUUAGUCGGUUCCUAAGGCGAGGCUGAAAAGCGUAGUCGAUGGGAAACAGGUUAAUAUUCCUGUACUUCUGGUUACUGCGAUGGAGGGACGGAGAAGGCUAGGCCAGCUUGGCGUUGGUUGUCCAAGUUUAAGGUGGUAGGCUGAAAUCUUAGGUAAAUCCGGGGUUUCAAGGCCGAGAGCUGAUGACGAGUCGUCUUUUAGAUGACGAAGUGGUUGAUGCCAUGCUUCCAAGAAAAGCUUCUAAGCUUCAGGUAACCAGGAACCGUACCCCAAACCGACACAGGUGGUCGGGUAGAGAAUACCAAGGCGCUUGAGAGAACUCGGGUGAAGGAACUAGGCAAAAUGGCACCGUAACUUCGGGAGAAGGUGCGCCGGCUAGGGUGAAGGAUUUACUCCGUAAGCUCUGGCUGGUCGAAGAUACCAGGCCGCUGCGACUGUUUAUUAAAAACACAGCACUCUGCAAACACGAAAGUGGACGUAUAGGGUGUGACGCCUGCCCGGUGCCGGAAGGUUAAUUGAUGGGGUUAGCGCAAGCGAAGCUCUUGAUCGAAGCCCCGGUAAACGGCGGCCGUAACUAUAACGGUCCUAAGGUAGCGAAAUUCCUUGUCGGGUAAGUUCCGACCUGCACGAAUGGCGUAACGAUGGCGGCGCUGUCUCCACCCGAGACUCAGUGAAAUUGAAAUCGCUGUGAAGAUGCAGUGUAUCCGCGGCUAGACGGAAAGACCCCGUGAACCUUUACUGUAGCUUUGCACUGGACUUUGAGCCUGCUUGUGUAGGAUAGGUGGGAGGCUUUGAAGCGUGGACGCCAGUUCGCGUGGAGCCAUCCUUGAAAUACCACCCUGGCAUGCUUGAGGUUCUAACUCUGGUCCGUGAUCCGGAUCGAGGACAGUGUAUGGUGGGCAGUUUGACUGGGGCGGUCUCCUCCUAAAGAGUAACGGAGGAGUACGAAGGUGCGCUCAGACCGGUCGGAAAUCGGUCGCAGAGUAUAAAGGCAAAAGCGCGCUUGACUGCGAGACAGACACGUCGAGCAGGUACGAAAGUAGGUCUUAGUGAUCCGGUGGUUCUGUAUGGAAGGGCCAUCGCUCAACGGAUAAAAGGUACUCCGGGGAUAACAGGCUGAUACCGCCCAAGAGUUCAUAUCGACGGCGGUGUUUGGCACCUCGAUGUCGGCUCAUCACAUCCUGGGGCUGAAGCCGGUCCCAAGGGUAUGGCUGUUCGCCAUUUAAAGUGGUACGCGAGCUGGGUUUAGAACGUCGUGAGACAGUUCGGUCCCUAUCUGCCGUGGACGUUUGAGAUUUGAGAGGGGCUGCUCCUAGUACGAGAGGACCGGAGUGGACGAACCUCUGGUGUUCCGGUUGUCACGCCAGUGGCAUUGCCGGGUAGCUAUGUUCGGAAAAGAUAACCGCUGAAAGCAUCUAAGCGGGAAACUUGCCUCAAGAUGAGAUCUCACUGGGAACUUGAUUCCCCUGAAGGGCCGUCGAAGACUACGACGUUGAUAGGCUGGGUGUGUAAGCGUUGUGAGGCGUUGAGCUAACCAGUACUAAUUGCCCGUGAGGCUUGACCAUAUAACACCCAAACA